GAUGAACGCUGGCGGCGUGCCUAAUACAUGCAAGUCGAGCGAACGGACGAGAAGCUUGCUUCUCUGAUGUUAGCGGCGGACGGGUGAGUAACACGUGGAUAACCUACCUAUAAGAUUGGGAUAACUUCGGGAAACCGGAGCUAAUACCGGAUAAUAUUUUGAACCGCAUGGUUCAAAAGUGAAAGACGGUCUUGCUGUCACUUAUAGAUGGAUCCGCGCUGCAUUAGCUAGUUGGUAAGGUAACGGCUUACCAAGGCAACGAUGCAUAGCCGACCUGAGAGGGUGAUCGGCCACACUGGAACUGAGACACGGUCCAGACUCCUACGGGAGGCAGCAGUAGGGAAUCUUCCGCAAUGGGCGAAAGCCUGACGGAGCAACGCCGCGUGAGUGAUGAAGGUCUUCGGAUCGUAAAACUCUGUUAUUAGGGAAGAACAUAUGUGUAAGUAACUGUGCACAUCUUGACGGUACCUAAUCAGAAAGCCACGGCUAACUACGUG
Molecule: ribosomal RNA, 497 nt
Filed under: uncultured bacterium
Lineage: Bacteria
Description: partial 16S ribosomal RNA
Rfam family: Bacterial small subunit ribosomal RNA
Source: RNAcentral